Molecule: ribosomal RNA, 902 nt
Filed under: Trichoderma pseudokoningii
Lineage: Eukaryota; Fungi; Ascomycota; Sordariomycetes; Hypocreales; Hypocreaceae
Description: SSU rRNA
Rfam family: Bacterial small subunit ribosomal RNA
Source: RNAcentral
GGUACCUACACGGUCAAUAUAGCUUCUAAAAUGUUAGUACUUGACUCGAGUUUUAUGUAAGAGGGCAGUACUUGAGGAGGAGAGAUGAAAUUCUAUGAUACCAAAGGGACUCGGUAAAGGCGAAGGCAGCCUUCUAUGUAAAAACUGACGUUAAAGGACGAAGGCACAGAGCACAAACAGGAUUAGAUACCCAAGUAGUCUUUGCAGUAAAUGAUGAAUGCCAUAGGUUAGAUUAAGAUUUAGUAUUAUAAUUAUAAAUUAAAUAUUAAACAUUAUCUGGUCUAUAAAUGAAAGUGUAAGCAUUUCACCUCAAGAGUAAUGUGGCAACGCAGGAACUGAAAUCACUAGACCGUUUCUGACACCAGUAGUGAAGUAUGUUGUUUAAUUCGAUGAUCCACGAAAAACCUUACCACAAUUUGUAUAAUUAUAUUACAGGAGUUGCACGGCUGUUUUCAGUUAAUGUUGUGAAACUGUGGUUUCCAUGUAAUUAACGUAAUCCCUGGCUUUAUUUUUUUUAUUUACGAUAAAGCAUUUGAUCCUGGAAUUUGGAAAGAAAAAGGGGACAAAGACAAGUCAUCAUGGCCUUGAUAUUGUGGGCUAUAGACGUGCCACAUAUGCCUGGACAAAGAGAUGCGAAAAUGUGAAUUUAAGCUAAUCUCAAAAAACAGGAUAUAAAUUUUAAGGAUUGUAGUCUGAAAUUCGACUAUAUGAAUAAGUAAUUACUAGUAAUCGUGAAUCACCAUGUCACGGUGAAUUAACCUUGGAUUGGUACUAACCACUCGUCACAUGCUGAAAAGAGCAUGCGCAAUAAGUUUGCUUUCUUAAUAAUUAGUAAAAAAAACAAGUAGGUUUUAUAUAUUCUAUUAUUAGGGAUCUUCGUAUGUGUGGCUCUGAUUAGUGUU